CCACCCCACUUUUUGGCGUAUCACUCUCUCUCGCUCUAUCUUGGACAUUCGACGGCUGGCGAGGCGCGCGCGUGAAAAUAUAUCCUGGCCGUCUGGCGGUAGCGCCGAAGCAUUCAGUCAAUUAGCCGUAAUGGCACGACCUGCCGCGUCGGUCUCGGCCAAUUAAGUGGUGAUUAGUGCGCGGAGCGGAACUCUACCAUCGCUCGUAUCUCUCUUGCGCGCCACGGCAUGUGUCUGUGUGCUCGUGUGCCACGAUAGAUCGCGAGACCUGUGUGUUUGUCGUGCACGAAGGUGCAUCUGCUCGCCAGUUACGAGGGAAGUGCGGUGUGAACAGCAAGCAACUCUUCGGCUCUUCGCGAAGCGAGAUCCACGGUGCUUGGACUAGGACUUUCCUUCCGCUGCUUGUCGUUUUCGGAGUUUGGAGCUCGUGCACCGCGACGAGGACUUUUUCGCGUAAUCGACGAACCGUGUGCGAGAUCCUGUGUUUGUGUGUACCGGCGCGCACGGUAGCGGGAUCCACUCGAGGCUGUAAAUCACGCGUCGACGGCGGACGGGAGCAGCGGGAGUAUGCGCGAUGAAUGAUGAUACCGCGCGAGUAGCGUUGCCGCGCGUUCCGAACCAUUUGGAUAGUGCAGUCGCGACGAUUCGACCGCGAAACAAUCGUUCCAGUGUGGCGUGAAGCAACGAGGGAUUUCAUCAUUCCUAGUGAUUUAUUUUUAACUACCAACGGGGACAGCCCCUCGACUUGGCGAGUAGUGGAGAAAAGUGUGGCGUGAAAUGCCGUGCGCGUUGAUCGUGGAGCCUUGGUAGAUGUAGAAAAAAUGCUUUGCGAUCGAUACGAAGAGAUCACAAAGAAGAGGCGACGCGCCAAAAUUUCGUGGUAGUUUAUAGCAUCGCGUGCAAUUCGCGACGAGUCGUCUACGUGCCGGGAGCAGGAGUUCACCCCCGUCCCUCAAGGCUGACAGAAUGGACUUCCGGGCGCCGCAUCCACUCGUGCAUCCCUCGCACGCGGGACACCCCUACUACUAUCCAGGUAAGCUGAAAACAAAGACUCGCGAGCUUCUUGGUAAGAAUAGCAACGUAAGUUCAUAAGCUUAGCGAUUAAAGGUACAUUGAUCUUUUUGCUCAAAUCACUAUUGAGAGAUUUCGUAGACGGACAGGUCUUCUUUGACGACCAUGAGCAUCAACAAUCAAUCAUCUCGAUGCUUACCAAGAUCUCCUUAAAUGGAAACGAAUCCACGUUUACAUCGACUGCCCAUUCUCGUCGUUUUCAAGGAAGACUUUUGUGUCUACUUAGCAGCAAUCUUUGGUUCUAUAACAAAGAAUCGAGCUGGAAUCAGCCUCGUCUACACGUCGGCUGCGUUUCUACGCGCCUCGUCGCAUAUAAACGUUGACGACUUCUUUGUUCGCGCCC
Molecule: long non-coding RNA, 1414 nt
Organism: Hylaeus anthracinus
Lineage: Eukaryota; Metazoa; Arthropoda; Insecta; Hymenoptera; Colletidae
Exons: 3
Source: RefSeq, a predicted model, not a curated record